This 254-nucleotide ribosomal RNA is filed under the name uncultured bacterium. RNAcentral describes it as "partial 16S ribosomal RNA". It matches the Rfam family "Bacterial small subunit ribosomal RNA", at positions 524 to 776 of the family's 1533-position model. The record is from RNAcentral.
CGCGUAGGGUGCGAGCGUUGUCCGGAAUUAUUGGGCGUAAAGAGCUCGUAGGCGGUGUGUCGCGUCGGCCGUGAAAACCUGCAGCUUAACUGUGGGCGUGCGGUCGAUACGGGCAUCACUGGAGUUCGGCAGGGGAGACUGGAAUUCCUGGUGUAGCGGUGAAAUGCGCAGAUAUCAGGAGGAACACCGGUGGCGAAGGCGGGUCUCUGGGCCGAUACUGACGCUGAGGAGCGAAAGCGUGGGGAGCGAACAGG